AGAUCAGCUGCUGAAUUUGCUCCUGUGCUGUACCUCUGGGCAGCUAUCAGCAGAGCACACAAAUCACCACCCCCUGCAGCAGCACAGCCAACGUGAUGGAUCAGGGCUGAUCACCUGCUUUCAACCUCAGGGGAGUGGCUGAAGGACAGGUGAAGCCUGCCCUGCUCAGAUGCAUUCAUUUUCUCUGUAUCAGUGCUGAGGAGGUACCUCCCUGCUGCUCCCUGAGACACCAUGUCUUGUAGAAGAGGCAAGCAAAGCUUCUUGACCUGACAAACUUCAUCUGGCUUCAAAUUUUAGGGGCUGCAACCCAUGGACAUCUUCCAUGGCUUAGUGAUAAAAGCUUUGGAUCCAAGACACAUGAUAUUAGUUCAGGUGGCUGACUAGUAGAAGCAGCAGUGAUACUGCAGCAUCCGUUCCUCUGACUGCCUUUAGGCUGAAAGCUGCUACAGCUGUCACUGACUGCAGGACAGCGACCUGUCACACUUCAGCAGGAGCCUGGAUCCUUGGGUAUCCUCACUGCAUCCCAUACCACGAGCAGAGGGCGACAGGGAAGUCAGAAGCAGAGUUAUGGCAAUAAUGUACUGCAGGAGUCUUAGUGCC
Tympanuchus pallidicinctus (lesser prairie-chicken) is the source of this 600-nucleotide long non-coding RNA. RefSeq lists it as uncharacterized. The record is from RefSeq and is a predicted model, not a curated record. The transcript has 3 exons. NCBI's taxonomy places the organism in Eukaryota, Metazoa, Chordata, Aves, Galliformes, Phasianidae.